RNAcentral lists this ribosomal RNA (253 nucleotides) under uncultured bacterium. RNAcentral describes it as "partial 16S ribosomal RNA". It matches the Rfam family "Bacterial small subunit ribosomal RNA", at positions 524 to 776 of the family's 1533-position model. The record is from RNAcentral.
UACAGAGGGGGCAAGCGUUGUUCGGAAUUACUGGGCGUAAAGGGCGCGUAGGCGGCCUUCUAAGUCGAACGUGAAAUCCCCGGGCUCAACCCGGGAACUGCGUCCGAGACUGGAAGGCUCGAAUCCGGGAGAGGGAUGUGGAAUUCCAGGUGUAGCGGUGAAAUGCGUAGAUAUCGGGAAGAACACCCGUGGCGAAGGCGGUUCUCUGGGACGGUACUGACGCUGAGACGCGAAAGCGUGGGGAGCGAACAGG